UGGGGAAUAUUGGACAAUGGGGGGAACCCUGAUCCAGCCAUGCCGCGUGUGUGAAGAAGGCCUUUUGGUUGUAAAGCACUUUAAGCGAGGAGGAGGCUACCGAGAUUAAUACUCUUGGAUAGUGGACGUUACUCGCAGAAUAAGCACCGGCUAACUCUGUGCCAGCAGCCGCGGUAAUACAGAGGGUGCAAGCGUUAAUCGGAUUUACUGGGCGUAAAGCGCGCGUAGGUGGCAAAUUAAGUCAAAUGUGAAAUCCCCGAGCUUAACUUGGGAAUUGCAUUCGAUACUGGUUGGCUAGAGUAUGGGAGAGGAUGGUAGAAUUCCAGGUGUAGCGGUGAAAAGCGUAGAGAUCUGGAGGAAUACCGAUGGCGAAGGCAGCCAUCUGGCCUAAUACUGACACUGAGGUGCGAAAGCAAGGGGAGCAAACAGG
Molecule: ribosomal RNA, 430 nt
Filed under: Acidobacteriota bacterium
Lineage: Bacteria; Pseudomonadati; Acidobacteriota
Description: Acidobacteria bacterium partial 16S ribosomal RNA
Rfam family: Bacterial small subunit ribosomal RNA
Source: RNAcentral